Molecule: long non-coding RNA, 763 nt
Organism: Patiria miniata (bat star)
Lineage: Eukaryota; Metazoa; Echinodermata; Asteroidea; Valvatida; Asterinidae
Exons: 4
Source: RefSeq, a predicted model, not a curated record
GUGCAAAAUAUUAUGUCAAGAAAUAUAAACAAAAUAGCCGACUUAAUUGAACUUUGUGGCCUUUUUUAUGAAAACAUAUUAUUUGUCAGCACGCCAAAGCUGUGACGCUAGCCAAUCACACGGCGCGUAAUUUGUUCUACAUUCCAAGGUUGUGACGCUGGCCAAUCAGUUUUCAUGUACUCUCUUUGAAUCACGAUAUGGCGCGCAAGCAUAUGACCGUUACAUAUUUCGACAUCAUACUGCAGUUGUGUGGACGUGUAGCGUGCAGCCGACAUCAUUUUACUCAAAUAACAGAAGAGUUUACAAGACCUCACAGAUGACGAAACCCCACUCAGCAAUGAUUCAUACAGGAAUUGAGGAGGAGCCAAAGUCAGCAUGGAUUGUCGAACCAGUAUGGAGGAGUUAUGUAUGACUUUCGAAGAUGCUUCAGUUUGAAAUCUUUCGGACAGUACUCGCAGUGCCGUAGCUGGUGCAUGACCAAGUGAUUGAAGACAGUUCAACAAUGAUGGGCAGAGUGGAACUGAAAAAAAAGCAGAUGAGGAGACGGACCUUUUCAGUUUCGCAGCGAGGUCUAGUAACUUCGUAAUCGGGCAAGGUGAUGGAUGUUGCUGCUUGUUGAGUUUUUCAUCUCCUGUCAAGUUUGCGCCUGAAAGAAGAGGUGAUGGAGGGACACACUGAGGGCCCAUGCACCUUCACAUUCAGUCGUACCUUUGGACUGUGUUAAAUAUUUCAAUAUUGGAACAGUUGAUUAAUAGUAAUUGUU